Molecule: ribosomal RNA, 529 nt
Filed under: uncultured Glomeromycotina
Lineage: Eukaryota; Fungi; Glomeromycota
Description: SSU rRNA
Rfam family: Eukaryotic small subunit ribosomal RNA
Source: RNAcentral
GCAGCCGCGGUAAUUCCAGCUCCAAUAGCGUAUAUUAAAGUUGUUGCAGUUAAAAAGCUCGUAGUUGAAUUUCGGGAUUGACGUGACGGUCGUGCCUUAAGGGGUAUGAACUGUUGCAGUCAAUUUCUCACCUUCUGGAGAAAUAUGAUGUCCUUAAUUGGGUGUCAUAUGAAACCAGAACUUUUACCUUGAAAAAAUUAGAGUGUUUAAAGCAAGCUUAUUGCUCGAAUACAUUAGCAUGGAAUAAUAAAAUAGGACGGCAUGAUUCUAUUUUGUUGGUUUCUAGGAUCACCGUAAUGAUUAAUAGGGAUAGUUGGGGGCAUUAGUAUUCAAUUGUCAGAGGUGAAAUUCUUGGAUUUAUUGAAGACUAACUACUGCGAAAGCAUUUGCCAAGGAUGUUUUCAUUAAUCAAGAACGAAAGUUAGGGGAUCGAAGACGAUCAGAUACCGUCGUAGUCUUAACCAUAAACUAUGCCGACUAGGAAUCAGACGAUGUUAAUUUUUUAAUGACUCGUUUGGCACCUUACGGG